RNAcentral lists this ribosomal RNA (1077 nucleotides) under Triticum aestivum (bread wheat). RNAcentral describes it as "partial small subunit ribosomal RNA". Lineage: Eukaryota; Viridiplantae; Streptophyta; Magnoliopsida; Poales; Poaceae. The record is from RNAcentral.
AUGCCCCCGGUGCCUGCCGCGGCGUCGUCGAGCGUCCCCAACGUGCCCCCGGAGAGCACCUCUACGGGGGGCAUGUCGUCGCCGGGCAACUCCAUGGCGCCCCUGGAGAGCACCCCUACGGCUACGGGGGCCGCGGCGUCGCCGGGAAACUCUGUGGUGCCCCCGGAGAGCAACCCUACGGCGAGUCCCCCGCCCUCUGUCACGGAGCCAGAGCGGCUUUCUUUAUCCAUCCAAGAUGAAUCCUCAACUCCCCUGCUUUCGGUCGACGUCGACGACCUGCACAAGCAUGCCAUCGAGUUCUUGGAGGAAUCGAACGGAUACCCUGUCCUCACGGAUCCUGCCGCCGGGUUCGCCAAGCUACUGGAGCUGUUCGCCGCGGCCGAGUCAAAGGCCAUGUAUGCUGGAGAUCUGAAGGCGGCCGCCUCCAUCUUGAGCAAAGCUGCCGCCGAUGGCAAGCUUCCGGUGAAUCUCGCGGGCACCGCAAAGAGGCUGGCAUCUGAGGCGACGAAACUCGCGUCCGAGGUGGAGACCAGGCAUACUAUUUCCUCUUUGGCGAGGAUUCGCUCAUGCUGCUGCCUCUCGGCGUCCCAGAUAGCGCGCUACUGGUCAUGGUGCUGCACUGAUGAGUUGCCCCUCCAUCGCAGAGACCUUGAUCGGCAGGCCUUAUUUGUUGACAAGCUCUCCGCGCUCUACUGCUUAUCGAUGCCGGCUUCGCUUGGCCUCCUUCCAUACUUGCCUGCUACGAUUCCCAAGGACCAGUCUGUGCUCAUGGCGUAUAUCUAUGGUCUGAUUUUCUCAUCGGCCUCCAUCGGGCUAGUCCUGAGCCUCCACCCGAUGAAGCGCUUUGACGUGGAGCUAGCACGUUUUGUUAGCAGGCUCAGUUUUGUGGGUCUGUCAGUGCUCGUUCUCAUAUAUGUGUACUACGCAUUGUCGCCGGGUAACUACGCUAUGCUCGGAAUUUGUUCAGGGAUACUCGCUGCUGGCCAUGGAUAUGCAUGGAUUAGGAGCUGUUGCAGCAGAGCAGAGGACCCUUCAGACGCGCCAGAGGAAGUUUCAUCUGAUCACCGCAGUGAAUGA